GUGCUCACUUUGGCAGUACAUAUACUAAAAUUGGAAUGAUACAGAGAUUAGCAUGGCCUCUGAGCAAGAAUGACACGCAAAUUGAUGAAUUAUACCAUAUAAAA
Small nuclear RNA from Macaca fascicularis (crab-eating macaque), 104 nucleotides. The record is from Ensembl. Lineage: Eukaryota; Metazoa; Chordata; Mammalia; Primates; Cercopithecidae.